RNAcentral lists this transfer RNA (85 nucleotides) under Felis catus (domestic cat). It matches the Rfam family "tRNA". From Rfam's summary of the family: Transfer RNA (tRNA) molecules are approximately 80 nucleotides in length. Their secondary structure includes four short double-helical elements and three loops (D, anti-codon, and T loops). Lineage: Eukaryota; Metazoa; Chordata; Mammalia; Carnivora; Felidae. The record is from Rfam by way of RNAcentral.
GCCUGCGUGGUUCAGUUGGUUGAGCGUCUGACUUCGGCUCAGGUUAUGAUCUCACGGUUCGUGGGUUUGAGCCCCACAUCGGGCU